ACAUGUUGGUUGACAGUCCAUAGGUUCCUAUUUAAUAGGCUUGCAUCAUACGUUUUCUUUUCUUUUUUGAAUCUGCUUGGAUUGUACGUGUCCAUGUAGGACUUUUCUGGGUUUUUAUUUCUUAAGCUUAGGGCUUUGUCUUUGCUAGGUAUAAACACGUGAUCUGUAGACAACUAUAGUAGCAUGAGUACAUACAUGUCUUGUAUCUAUCUUUUUUAAUACAAUUUAAAACCGAGAUGUUAUCUAGUAUUUUUUUCUAUCUAUUACAUAUCCUCACGUACCAAUUCUAUUCAAUGCUACUUCAACUACGUGUUGUCUUUGACUGGUUCCCACUUUUUUUGACAUGUGUCACAUUACGUGAGAAGUUAAGGAGCCCUGCCAUGUUACGCAAAUCGAACGGACAUAGAUNAAUUUUAAAAAUCAACCGGAUCAAGGUUUGGUAUUUUCUAAUUAACGUAAGAUUUUCUGGCUUAUUUCUCUAUAUUGGACCCGUAUUUUUCUUUUAGUAUAUAAUAGAUGAUGUUAUGGACAAGACCCAAACUACGAACGUAACAUAUGAUCGUGUCAGUUUAUUGCUACUGUUUUCUACAUGUCAAUGUAUCUGUUCCUAUGACCAUGAGAUCAUGCAACUCCUGGACACCGGAGGAAUACCUUGUGUGUAUCAAACAUCGCAACAUAACUGGGUGACUAUAAAGGUGAUCUACACGUAUCUC
RNAcentral lists this long non-coding RNA (713 nucleotides) under Hordeum vulgare. RNAcentral describes it as "long non-coding RNA (HVUL_LNC003974)". Lineage: Eukaryota; Viridiplantae; Streptophyta; Magnoliopsida; Poales; Poaceae. The record is from RNAcentral.